This 253-nucleotide ribosomal RNA is filed under the name uncultured bacterium. Its description in RNAcentral is "partial 16S ribosomal RNA". It matches the Rfam family "Bacterial small subunit ribosomal RNA", at positions 524 to 776 of the family's 1533-position model. The record is from RNAcentral.
UACGGAGGGUGCAAGCGUUAAUCGGAAUUACUGGGCGUAAAGCGCACGCAGGCGGUUUGAUAAGUUAGAUGUGAAAGCCCCGGGCUCAACCUGGGAAUUGCAUUUAAAACUGUCCAGCUAGAGUCUUGUAGAGGGGGGUAGAAUUCCAGGUGUAGCGGUGAAAUGCGUAGAGAUCUGGAGGAAUACCGGUGGCGAAGGCGGCCCCCUGGACAAAGACUGACGCUCAGGUGCGAAAGCGUGGGGAGCAAACAGG